ACUAUUUUGGCAGAAAAAAUGUGGUGAUUUUAGAAAUCACUAAUGUAUAAAUUAUUAUAUAGGUAGUA
This 68-nucleotide transfer RNA is filed under the name Parantica sita. RNAcentral describes it as "tRNA-Leu". Lineage: Eukaryota; Metazoa; Arthropoda; Insecta; Lepidoptera; Nymphalidae. The record is from RNAcentral.